GAUGAACGCUGGCGGCGUGCCUAAUACAUGCAAGUCGAGCGAACGGACGAGAAGCUUGCUUCUCUGAUGUUAGCGGCGGACGGGUGAGUAACACGUGGAUAACCUACCUAUAAGACUGGGAUAACUUCGGGAAACCGGAGCUAAUACCGGAUAAUAUUUUGAACCGCAUGGUUCAAAAGUGAAAGACGGUCUUGCUGUCACUUAUAGAUGGAUCCGCGCUGCAUUAGCUAGUUGGUAAGGUAACGGCUUACCAAGGCGACGAUGCAUAGCCGACCUGAGAGGGUGGUCGCCGACACUGGAGGUGGACCGGCGUCCAGACUACUACGGGAGGCAGCAGUAGGGAAUCUUCCGCAGUGGGCGAGAGCAUGACGGAGCAGCGCCGCGUGAGUGAUGAAGGUCUUCGGAUCGUAAAGCUCUGUUAUUAGGGAAGAACAGAUGUGUAAGUAACUGUGCACAGCUUGACGGUACCUAGUAAGAAAGCCACGGCUAACUACGUG
This 497-nucleotide ribosomal RNA is filed under the name uncultured bacterium. RNAcentral describes it as "partial 16S ribosomal RNA". It matches the Rfam family "Bacterial small subunit ribosomal RNA", at positions 28 to 507 of the family's 1533-position model. The record is from RNAcentral.